RNAcentral lists this ribosomal RNA (491 nucleotides) under uncultured bacterium. Its description in RNAcentral is "partial 16S ribosomal RNA". It matches the Rfam family "Bacterial small subunit ribosomal RNA", at positions 29 to 507 of the family's 1533-position model. The record is from RNAcentral.
AGUGAACGCUGGCGGUAGGCCUAACACAUGCAAGUCGAACGGCAGCACAGUAAGAACUUGCUCUUACGGGUGGCGAGUGGCGGACGGGUGAGGAAUACAUCGGAAUCUACUUUUUCGUGGGGAUAACGUAGGGAAACUUACGCUAAUACCGCAUACGACCUACGGGUGAAAGCAGGGGAUCUUCGGACCUUGCGCGAUUGAAUGAGCCGAUGUCGGAUUAGCUAGUUGGCGGGGUAAAGGCCCACCAAGGCGACGAUCCGUAGCUGGUCUGAGAGGAUGAUCAGCCACACUGGAACUGAGACACGGUCCAGACUCCUACGGGAGGCAGCAGUGGGGAAUAUUGGACAAUGGGCGCAAGCCUGAUCCAGCCAUACCGCGUGGGUGAAGAAGGCCUUCGGGUUGUAAAGCCCUUUUGUUGGGAAAGAAAAGCAGCAGGUUAAUACCCCGCUGUUCUGACGGUACCCAAAGAAUAAGCACCGGCUAACUUCGUG